Molecule: non-coding RNA, 177 nt
Filed under: Planococcus glaciei
Lineage: Bacteria; Bacillati; Bacillota; Bacilli; Caryophanales; Caryophanaceae
Description: Planomicrobium glaciei GlcN6P sequence
Rfam family: glmS glucosamine-6-phosphate activated ribozyme aptamer
About the family: This entry contains a glucosamine-6-phosphate activated ribozyme that is found in the mRNA for GlmS. GlmS is an enzyme that uses fructose-6-phosphate and glutamine to generate glucosamine-6-phosphate. The ribozyme catalyses self cleavage of the glmS mRNA that is thought to regulate GlmS activity.
Source: RNAcentral
AAAACAGUUAAAGCGCCAGUACUGGGGAAAUCGGAUGGACAAAUCACUUCCCAGUAGACGAGGAGGAGGAGUAUCGAGAUUUCGGCGGAUACCUCCCGGCCGCGAAGCCCGGUCGUAAUAUCCAGCAUUUAAAGCAGUUGAGCGAUCGGCUGUACAACGAUGCGGAUGGGCUCACGA